CUCCCAUUCCCCAGAUCCAAUCGAGGCACCCCGCCGCCCCCGCCUUCCUUUCCCUCGCUCGUCUCAUCUCCCUCCCGCGAUUCCCACUGCCGUCACCCCCACCCACCACCGCCGACCUCGUCUCCGCCAUGCACCCCUCGCCUUCCUCUGCGGCUCCAAGGCUCGGCGCUCGGCGAGGGGGAAGCGGUGAGGCCGAGGUGGAGGACGGGGAUGGGGUGCAUGUUCGACUACUUCCGUGCGGCUGCGCCCAGCUCGCCUCGGAUCUAGGCUCAACGGAGCGGAGAUGAAUAUCACGAUGCUCGUCGUGUUGAGGCCGUCGGCCGGAGGCGCCGGGGGAUCCUCCUCCAGCGGCGGGUAGGGCUCCGAGGCGCUCGUGCUGGCCAACGCCACGGACGUCAGCCACUUCGGCUUCUUCCGGCGCGGCGCCGCACGCGAGUUCAUCGUCUUCGUCGCCCGCACCGUCGCCCAGCGCACCCAGCCAGGCCAGCGCUAGUCCGUCCAGCACGAAGGACAAUGGAAGUCCUUUGUUCGGAGAGAGAAACCAAGUUGAAGUGAGUGGAAAAUACUUCGGUGCAUCCUGGAGUCCAGCUACUGUUCUUAAAGUGAUUGGUGCUUCACAUUUUCUAGUACAGUACAUGCAUACUGAAAAUGAUGGGUACACGGAGUUUUUUGAAACAGAAACUUGUUCAUGGCCCUACUUGUGUCGGACAGCAAGUGCCAAACUUGAAACAGAAACUUGUAGUAGCGGGCCUGGAGCUUAGUUCUUCAAGCAUAACCUUUUAAAGCAGAAAUCAAUGCACCUCAUUGUUAUAUUUUUUUGUUUGCCCUACAGCUUUAAGCACUGUUGGUACAAUGUGAACUGGACUUCUUGGGGUGACUGGAUUUUGGGCAAACUUUGUUGCUGAUAUUGGCCAAACUUUAUGAUACAGAGUUUUGGUUCCACUUCUUGGUGGAGCGAUGUGCAUGUGCACCUGGCAUUUCUUCUACAACUCAGUCUCUCGAGGUAACAUAUUGACCUGAAGGCAAAGCUACACCACAGGACUGAACCAUACCGUACGCCGGGCGUGGUCGUGCUACUAACCGCCAGGCCACCGACGCUGGCGCCGGUGCCGACCCCGACCAGAGAUCCGUCGCCGCCCAGGACCCCAAGCUACUGGACGACUUCGCAGACACCGAAGCCAACACCAAAGUUUAAUUACCACCUCCAAAUCAAAUCCUGGGGCUUCAUUCAUGGCUGUCUAGUACUGCUAGUUAAUCCUGGGGCUUAUUUACCAUCAGUUAGUACACUAUCCAGUACUGCUAGUUCUCAUCUCACUUGUUGUGCUUCUUGGACUGGGAGCACUCUUUGUUAUCCAAGAUCUAACAUGAAAGGCAACAUGGUGACUCUAGUGUAGGCAACACUGGCCAUCCUCUUCGAGGCUGUGUGUUUAGGUGAUUCCUCGGGUAGCCAUGACAGUACACUGGCUGAUUAGUGCCCAGUGGCAUGUUUCUAAUAUUUACAGGGAUUUCCUUUAUAGGAAUAAUGCUCAUGGACGAGCUGCAGCGGGACAACUUGGAGAGCAAGUACUUUGAGGACAAGAUCAAGGAGAACCAAGAGAAGAUCACCGGUUACCUCAUACUUCUCGGCAUGCCUAGCAACUUUGGCAGAUCCCUCUUUGGCUUCGACCAAGUUACAUUUGUCACUAGCCAGCAGCAUUUACAGGUGUUGUCAGUUCUGGAAGAUGGAAGAGGAAGAAAAAUAAUUUUUGUUGAACUAAAUUUUCUGUAUUCUGUUUUGUUGUAUGUAUGAUUUGAUAGUUUUGUAUAGGAACAAGUGAUACUAUUUUGUAGGGCUUUAUGGCCUGUGUACUAUUUUGUAGGGCUUUAUGGCCUGUGAUGUAAACAUAUUUAGUGCUGAAUUAUGAAUUUUUUGAAAAAAUUAUUAGAAAGGAGAAUCAUUUGUAUGAAUCGCCAAAUAUAUGUGAGUGGGUUGAAAAGAGUAUUGGAU
RNAcentral lists this ribosomal RNA (1987 nucleotides) under Triticum aestivum (bread wheat). RNAcentral's name for it is "partial small subunit ribosomal RNA". Lineage: Eukaryota; Viridiplantae; Streptophyta; Magnoliopsida; Poales; Poaceae. The record is from RNAcentral.